This is a long non-coding RNA of Aquila chrysaetos chrysaetos, 2176 nucleotides long. RefSeq lists it as uncharacterized. NCBI's taxonomy places the organism in Eukaryota, Metazoa, Chordata, Aves, Accipitriformes, Accipitridae. The record is from RefSeq and is a predicted model, not a curated record. The transcript is spliced from 2 exons.
GUUGGCUUCUGCAGUGGAGUCCCAUUGAAGGAUCUGCUCUAACAAAGUUCCAGCCCAGCGUGUCUUUUCCCACCAAGUAGGAGUUUGGGCCUCCUUGCAUGCUGAGCGUAUGCUUAGGUGAUCUGCUGGAUCGAGGCAAGAGUCUCCCAUUUUCUUCCCUGGUCUUAACCACACCAAGUACAAGUUUCUUUUAUUGCUUCCAAGGCUGUCUACAGGUUUCCUCCUCGCUAGGGGAACUGCCCCUAUUUCAUCAUGCUCUGACCUGUUCAUUUUCUCAUCUGGAGUCUUCUCCAAAGUGCUUGUAACUUUCCUUGGGAUCCUAAGCCCUGCAGACCUCUGAAGAUUCAGGGUCUGAGCCAGCCUCUACAGAAAUCCAUUGAAAAAACACCUGCUGGCUCCUGUGAGCUGAAGAUAAAGCUUGUAAUGAUGAACUUCGCUUAGCAGUUGUCCAAAAUGCUGCAGUUCGGGCUCCCGCGUUACUGCUGGAUGGCAUGCUCGCGGACCUGCACCCCCACCCGUGCGAAGGCGAGGAGGCUUCAGGCUGUAAAACCCGUGCGGCUCUGCCAGCACAGACCGACCGCCCACCUGCAGGCGCCUGCCUCCCACCCUGCGCACCCCGAGUGACAACGCCAGCGCCGGCACAGCACCCCUGUGUCACCGCACCCCGGUUCUGCCACCUUUCCCCCAUCGCUGCGACCCCAGCGGCAGGGAUUCCUUAACCUACAAGGGGAAGGAAGGGCUGGAAACAAGCGUUUUCAUCUCUGCCGCCGGUUCUAGCUCGGGGAGGAUGCUUCCAGCUUUAAUAAACCAGAUGAUCAAAGCCUUUGUGUGAAUCCUGCCGUCAGGAGAGAGGUUGUGCCGCCGUACUGACAGCACACCCGAGCCCUGCUCAGCUCCCCCAAACCCCGCUUUUCUCAGCUGCAAGCUCUGGGCACCCACACCUUCUCCCUCCAGCCCAAGGCGGGAGGGCAACCGAUGCCGGGGAGAGAGAAUGCUUUCCAAACAGUCAUUUUCUUUCCCAGCAAGCCAGAGAUUUAAUAUACAUAUGAGUGAUCUGGGGCCGUGUUAUUUUUCAGCCUUCAAAAUUGUAUUUAUUUUCUUUCCACUCUUCUGAAAGAUGCGUAUCAGAGGCACCUGAGAGCAGCCAAAGCAGCCGCCUGAUAAGAUCUUUACAAUUCAUUUGCACAACCAUGCCUUUUGCAAAGGAAAAAAAGAAAGUGUUAACGAGUUGACAAGCACGCUCUUCCUUGCAGCGAGCAGCGCUGCCAGCCGCAAUAUUACUGCAGGGAGGAGAGAGCAGGGUGGUGGCAGAAGACCUUGAAAAAAAUGCUUUGUUCAAUCCGGUUACAAAGACUCCUGCUUCCUUAACAUACCAAAUCCUAGCUGGCCGAGCAAGGCAAUGGAUUCAAUAGAAACUCCACUUGGUAACGAUGCAGGGCAGCGCGUUGCUAUCGGGGUUUCAAGGAUGAGUCCUUGGGGUGGAAAGAAAUAAUGUUUAACCAAGAAGGAUCAAAGCAAAAAAAAAGGAGUGUUUGCUAGGCGCGUGGCUUCUGUAUAGAGCGGUUCCGGAUUCUGACCUGACGGCCGCAGAUGAUGGUCCAACAGUGGUUUUACCCUCUGACACUGCCAUUUGCAACCAGAUCCUCAAACGAUGCAAAUUUGCCCGAUCUCAGUUCAGCCUGAACACGCACACACACACACACACACAAAAUCCUGCUUAGGAAAGAAAGGACCAAGACCAGAUUUCAAGAAUAACUCAGACGAGCAAGUGAGUAUUUUCUUUCAUGCCUUGCUCUUUUGCAUUUACUGAAUUUGUUCCACAUGAAUGUAGAAACAGCUGCAUCAGCACCAGCACUGAGGCUGGAGCCUUAUUAAUAUUUAUGCCUGGCGAGCAGAGCACACAGGAAUCAAAAUGCCUUCCUGUCAUUGGUUCAGGGACCCCAGCAUCCGUACAGCAUCUUGCCAUGUUUGGUGGCCAGGCAAGCAGAUUUAUUAGAAAGCGGAUCAAUUUCUCAUCAGCACUCUCACCCGAUCGCGGGAAAACUGCCCUUCGCCUCCUACCUGCUCUUUACUUCUCGUCGUUCAAUAAUUUCCCAAUUAGGGGAACCAUUUUUCAUCUCUCUUUUGCACUUCUGUGGUUUAUAUUCUCAUCUAUUAAAUACGGUUGGAGACAUUA